Molecule: small RNA, 251 nt
Filed under: Nomascus leucogenys (northern white-cheeked gibbon)
Lineage: Eukaryota; Metazoa; Chordata; Mammalia; Primates; Hylobatidae
Description: Metazoan signal recognition particle RNA (ENSNLEG00000030276.1)
Rfam family: Metazoan signal recognition particle RNA (bases 1-117)
Source: RNAcentral
GCUGGGCGUGGUGGCUCACGCCUGUAAUCCCAGCACUUUGGGAGGCCGAGGCGGGUGGAUCACCUGAGGUCAGGAGUUCGAGACCAGCCUGACCAACAUGGUGAAACCUCAUCUCUACUAAAAAUACAAAAAUUAGCCAGGCGUGGUGGAAGACGCCUGUAAUCCCAGCACUUUGGGAGGCCGAGGUGGGUGGAUCACUUGAGGUCAGGAGUUCGAGACCAGCCUGACCAACAUGGUGAAACCCCAUCUCU